This 262-nucleotide unclassified non-coding RNA is filed under the name Hevea brasiliensis (rubber tree). Lineage: Eukaryota; Viridiplantae; Streptophyta; Magnoliopsida; Malpighiales; Euphorbiaceae. The record is from RNAcentral.
GAUGUUCAGCGGCAGCGAGCCGCUGGUCACGGCCGAGCAGGACAUGGCGCUGGCGAUUGCCAAGGAUCUCGGCGGUGAAAUCGGGCCUGAUGCGCCUUUCCAUCACUGGAAGGAAAACCGCUACGUCGCUUACUCGCAGAAGUGGCACGAUGCGGGUUAUUUCAACGACACCAUCGAGGUGACAGGCAACUGGAUUCCCGCGUUGUACGAAGCCAUCGGCAAUGCCGUACGCAAGAUUUAUCCGGGCAUUCACUUCGGCGCG